UGAGCGUGGAUCAGACUUGUGGGUGUGUUUUGAGGCGGAGUGAGAGUCCCGUACAGGAAACAGGAAACAUCACUGCCUCUAUCUCUGCCACGAGAAAGUUUUAAAACACCAAACACAAGCUCUGAACUGCCCGGGAGUUUGGGGAACAGCUGACUGUUUCCUCAGUCCCUCCGUCUCUUUACUUUCUCCGGGAAAUGACGCUGCCUUUAAAUGCGCUCGGAAAUGUCGAGAUCUAUAAACCAUCUGACCGAAAACAGUAACUGUGAAAUAUAGUCGUCUUGUGCUACAGUUGGGGGUUAAAGAACACAACAGGACAGCAACACAAAUUUGGAGACACUCCCAACACCGCACAACCCUGCAGAGAAUCCCUGGAUCUCUGAUUUAUUGUGAAC
Molecule: long non-coding RNA, 392 nt
Organism: Sander lucioperca (pikeperch)
Lineage: Eukaryota; Metazoa; Chordata; Actinopteri; Perciformes; Percidae
Exons: 3
Source: RefSeq, a predicted model, not a curated record